Molecule: long non-coding RNA, 2914 nt
Organism: Canis lupus familiaris (dog)
Lineage: Eukaryota; Metazoa; Chordata; Mammalia; Carnivora; Canidae
Exons: 4
Source: RefSeq, a predicted model, not a curated record
CUGUCUCUCAUGAAUAAAUAAAUAAAAUCUAAAAAAAAAAAAAAAAGGAAAUUAGAAAACUGAGAAAUACAAUGUCUGAAGUAAAGUCCUUAUUAUAAAGGCAGGCCCUCAAUGAACAAGUAGAUAUGAAAGCAGCAUGGAAUGAAAGAGAUGCUCAGUUUCUUCAGAACUGAGCCACAGAAGAACAUCGUGUAUUUUUAGACAAAAGAUGUUGUCCAGACAUCACUGAUUAUGGAGACUGUUUUCUUUGUGAAACUAAAUUCUUCCUGUAUUAUUAUUUUAAGAUUUUCUUUUCUUAUUUUUUUAAGUAAUAUCUACACCCAACAUGGGACUCAAACUUACAACCAAGCUCAAGAGUCACACAUUCUACAGUCUGAGCCAGCCAGGUGUCCCAUGAAUUAUUUGUUCAAAGGACAGUCUUUUAGCAUCUGAACCACAUUAAGCUGCUGCCUCACUGAAUAGUGCUGAUGAGGGUGGGCGGCUGGGAGUUUGGGAGUUAGCCAACAUUCCCUUCCACUACCAUGUGGUGGCAUGGUACAGGGGGAAAGUUCUGCCUUUAGAGGGAGGUGCUGAUUCAAGUCCCACUGGGGUCUUUUACUUGCUCUGUGACUCUGACCAAAGCAUUUUGUAUAUUUGCACCUCUGUUUUUGUUGUUGUCUGUUUUUCAUCAAUAAAGUAGGUAUUUUUGAAACUGCUUAUAAACUUGCUACAAGGGUUUAAUAUGAAUGCCCAUGCUAGGUGUGAGCCUGGCAUCUAACAUCUUUUUCUGUGUUUGUGGUGUUGUAAACAAAAGACUUUGCUGGACAUCUCAGUUCCUCCGAAGUAGUGCUGUGGGGCCCCUGGGCCUUCGCUGGAUCCCAUGGGGACUCAGGAAUAUCACUGUGGGACCAAGGGGUGGGUGACUGGUCUCUCUUUGCAAGAGCAGCUCUACUUAAGCACCAUGAUCAGCCCAGGCCCUGGAGCAGAGCGCCUGUUGUGAGCAGUCUCAGAUGGAUGGCCACACACCUAAGGCCUGGGGAAGGAGCCAAAAGGAAGAUUCAGAGGGGUCAUUUUGGGGAUGGACUCUGUCAGACACAGAAAUGAGGACUGAAGCACAUCCUGUAGACUUGAGUAAUGAAAUGCGUCACAGAGUGGCUGUGGCCUUCUGGAAGGCGCUCUCUGCCGCCUCCAGGAUCUGGCAGCGAUGGCCAUAGUGACGUGCUGCCCCCAUGUGGCAGGUGGGGGCAAGGACCAUCAAAGUGACGUUUCAUCAUUUUCAUUUCCGCCUUCUGUUGUCCAGGCUUUGGGGAGAGCCCUGAAGCAGGGGUAUAGUAGAACUUCAGAAGAAUCAUAAUCGAAGAUUGAAACCAAAAUAUCCAAGUGUCGUUUCUAGGAAGAAGAUGAUGAAGCUGGGUAUGUUAAUGGAGACAGAGCAAGGGAAAAUCCACCGAAAAAGGCACAUGGAUGAACCAGCCUGGGCUCGAAGCAAACACAGGCCUUGGGCCUGCAAACCUUGCUGUGUUCUCGUUUGUGUGACCUCAUUGUGCAUUGCUGCCAUUCCAGACCUACCGUGAAAUAAUUCCUCAGCAAUGGCUUCAAAAUUAUAUGAUGCUUGAGAGAAAUCUUAAGGCUUUCCAAUCAAAUCCUUUUUAUUUAAUUGUUUAUAUCUUAAAGCUGAUUCUACUUAUCCAAGUUAUAGACAGGUAGGUAGUGGCUAUGGGAAACAUGCCAUUAUUCAGUUACUAAAUCAUGCCACACUGUUGUGGCUUACAACCAUAAGGGUUUGUUACUUUUCAUUGUUCUGAGGGUUGACUGGGCUCAGCUGGGUGGUUCUGUUCUUCACAGCACUGGUUGAAGGCACUCAUUUUGUAUGAGCUCCUCUGGCCUCUGGGCUGGGCUGGAGGGCCCAGGAAGUCGUCACAUACAUGGCUGUUUCUUGGUGCUGCCCCUCUCCGUGAAGCUACAUGGAGCUUCCUCAGAGCAUGGUGGCCUCAGGGUGGCCCACCUUCUGCAGGGUGGUUGACUUUAAGAAAGAAAUCAGAAGGUGUGAGCCACAGAAGGCCUAAUCCUAUGACUGAGAUGGUGUCACCCUGUCACACUGUAUUGGGCAAAGUAGCCACAGGCCAGCACAGAGUCAGGGUAGUGGUGCGUACAGACAGUGUGUCUUGAUGAAUGAAGCAGCACACACUUAUUGGGAGGAAAUUAGCAGUGGACAUUUUUGAAGACUGUCCUACAGCAUCAUAUAUAAGAAUCAAACCCUGGUCCUGUUGAUGAUCAGCUACAGAGCCACAGCAUGGUGCUUAAACUCUCACUGCUCCAGUCAUCUUGUUCUCAAAUAGGGAGAACACAAACUGCAUGGAUUUGCUGGAGGAAGCAAAUAAGAGUCACUGUACAAGAGGUUAUCAGACUUGUUCUGGAACAGUUCUUGGAAAGUUAUGAGUAGCUGGCAGGACUUGCAGCCCACAUACUCAGGAAAGGCUGUUACAUCAAGUCAACAACAUCUGUAGUCAUCACUGUAGCAUGUUACCAUCACAGAAGAUGAGAGUCUCUUCAUCAUGCAGCAAAGCAUAGAAGGAGGUAGGACACCUGGAUGGAGAGGUAAGACACCUGGAUGAGGCUGUGUGGUGUCCUUGCCCUAAGAGAAUGUGUCUGGGUUGACCAGGCUGUGCUCAGAAAUGGGCAUCAUUAAGACUCAGGCUUUUGAUUUGAAAGAGAGUGUCCCAAGUAGGAGGUCACACUGGAGUCAUCGGUUCUGGCUGACCUUGGGAGAAUGAUUGCUGCCAACACAAUCUGACAGUUUCUACUUUUGCCUGAGCAACCCAGAUCCAGGCUGGGAAAGUAAUUCCUUAAUGUUCAGAUUGCUUUUUGUAAGUUUACCUCUUCCUUUCUUUUCUUCACAGGUCAGGAGACAGCUUUAAAAUACUGUAUUCAGUGC